Molecule: ribosomal RNA, 253 nt
Filed under: uncultured bacterium
Lineage: Bacteria
Description: partial 16S ribosomal RNA
Rfam family: Bacterial small subunit ribosomal RNA
Source: RNAcentral
UACAGAGGUGGCAAGCGUUGUUCGGAAUUACUGGGCGUAAAGGGCGCGUAGGCGGCCAUCUAAGUCAGACGUGAAAUCCCCCGGCUUAACCUGGGAACUGCGUCUGAUACUGGACGGCUUGAGUAUGGGAGAGGGAUGUAGAAUUCCAGGUGUAGCGGUGAAAUGCGUAGAUAUCUGGAGGAAUACUGGUGGCGAAGGCGGCAUCCUGGGCCAUUACUGACGCUGAGGCGCGAAAGCUAGGGGAGCAAACGGG